This 1793-nucleotide long non-coding RNA is filed under the name Homo sapiens (human). Its description in RNAcentral is "HSALNT0300077". The record is from RNAcentral. Lineage: Eukaryota; Metazoa; Chordata; Mammalia; Primates; Hominidae.
GUGCUUCAGCGCCUCCUCUGUUUUCCCCGGUGCCAGGGAGUCCUUGAGAUACCGGAUGUCUUUGGAGCAGCUGAGCUCAGGCAGGCCUGCUGCCUGCAUCAGGGCAAAGAGGUGGAGGAAGAGAAGCCCGUGGCGCCGCAGGAUGGUGUUAGGCCCUUUCACAGUAGCCCCGGAACCUUUCAAAUUUCUCAUAUUAUUAGUCUUCCCCUGCUCAAUCACAUGGACAAAGUCAUAGGUGAGGAUGAAUGGGACACGCUGACGGUUGAUUCCAAACGUGGUCUUGAAAUUCCCCCAGAAAGUGGCAAAAAUCAAUGUGGAACAGCUGCCCACUCGCUCGGAUCAUGAUGUUGUCGCUGUGCCGAUCACCGAUGCCCAGCACUGUGAAACUACAACUGUGUUUAUAAGGAGGAUGCCACUGGAAAUGAAUUCUGCUCAAAGAAUGAACUCUCUACACACAUCAUCUUUCUCUCACAGACAUCAUACCACCUCAAGCACUGCAGCCUCAAAAGGGGAAAUUCCUGAGUGAUUCUUCUUGAAGCUUAAAUUCUGUGGGAUUUUUAUGGUGGAAAACUUAGGAGAGGAACCAGACAGCCCAUCUAGGAGCUGAUACUCUUCUAGUGAAGACCACCCUUGCAGGAAAGCAUCUGUCCUCCCAGAAUCCGGAUGUUAGGUUUGAGAAUUUACUAAUGUGUGACUUCUCUGAAACAAUUUAUUUAGGAAAAAAGGUUGAAUAAAUAUAUACUCAAUAAAAGUAUUGCAAAAAUUAAAUAAAUCACAUAGGUAAAGGUUGUCUAAAUGGGAAAUUCCUUCAGACAAACAGGGAUUUUUAAUUGUGACCACCAUUGUGUUUGUUAUCCAUUGCCACAGUCAUCUGGGACAGAAUGCAAUCACAAACUCCUUACUGACUUAAGAAAACAAGCAUUUACUUAAUCCAAACAUAGGUCUGAGGGAGGCCGAGCCAUUUUUCUGCUCUCAGCUGGGCUCACUCAUGAAUCUGCAGCUACCAAUGUGAUCCAGGCAGCUCAACACAUGGAAGGUGGGCUUGCUGGGCAGUGCCCCCUGGUCUCAGCUGGAGGAACCAGUCUCCCCCAUGGUGUGUGUCAUCCACCAACAGGAUGUCCCAGGCUUGGUUUCAUGCUGACGGUGAUUUAUCAACACUGUAAGCAGAACCGUGAAAGGUGUCUUGAGGCCAGGUGCAGGAGCAACACAGUGUCCCCUCAGCUGCAUUGUCUUGGUCAAAACUAGCCACGAGGCCAGCCCAGAUUGGAAAUAUGAGAAGGAGAAGCAACUUCUUGAUGGCAAGACCUGCAAAGUCACAUUGCAGCGGGCAUGGAUACCCUCAGAGGAUUCAAAAAUUGUGGCUGCUUUUGAAAUCAAUCCACUACAUUCAUUAAAUAUAAUAUGUAUAUCAAAGGAUCACAGAAUAAAAUAAAUUUAAAUUGGAUGAAUACUGUCGCUGGAAAGAAGAUAAUAUUUUGGAGAAGACAGACAGUCUUGAAUCUGCCAUGGCUCAUAACAGAACCUGGGAAAAUUUAAGGAAUGAAAACAAAGGUGAUUAGUGAAGGGUCAACACACUCAUGGAUUUAUUACAUCAUCUGGCACUAGGAAGUCCUUCAGUUUCCACACUGAGCACGUGGAUGGGCAAUGAGUAUUUAAUAGUCUAUAUUUCUAGGUGGAACAGUCUUAAACCUUUAUUAAACUUUAGUAUUUUUAUUUGAUACCUCCCAUCUCCAUAGGUGGCUGCAACUCUAUUUCAUAGAACAUAAACAAAUUCCUUCUUACAGUGCUGUAUU